CGAUGGAUCUCAAAUUUGGAUAUGUUGUAGCUGACAAGGUGAGGAACAACUUCGAUGAAGAAAGUAUGUUGAGCUGAACAAGAAAAAAUGGAGUUUAGAAGCUCACAACAAGUCUGACGGGUUAACAGAAAAUUGAUGAACAUUUACUCAUCAUACCUGAAUUUCUGGAGUUGUACUACUCCGAUGGAUCUCAAAUUUGGAUAUGUUGUAGUUCACAAGAUAAGGAACAACUUUCAUGAAGACGACUUUGCUAUCUGAGCUCUAGAGAAUGGUGUUCUAUUGCAUCCACUCAGGCUGAUUAGUGGAAACGAAAAGCAAUUCCACCAAAGAAAAGAUGAAAAAGAG
This 345-nucleotide long non-coding RNA is filed under the name Malus domestica (apple). Its description in RNAcentral is "long non-coding RNA (MDOM_LNC017712)". Lineage: Eukaryota; Viridiplantae; Streptophyta; Magnoliopsida; Rosales; Rosaceae. The record is from RNAcentral.